AUGAACGCUGGCGGCGUGCCUAAUACAUGCAAGUCGAGCGAACAGACGAGGAGCUUGCUCCUCUGACGUUAGCGGCGGACGGGUGAGUAACACGUGGAUAACCUACCUAUAAGACUGGGAUAACUUCGGGAGACCGGAGCUAAUACCGGAUAAUAUAUUGAACCGCAUGGUUCAAUAGUGAAAGACGGUUUUGCUGUCACUUAUAGAUGGAUCCGCGCCGCAUUAGCUAGUUGGUAAGGUAACGGCUUACCAAGGCAACGAUGCGUAGCCGACCUGAGAGGGUGAUCGGCCACACUGGAACUGAGACACGGUCCAGACUCCUACGGGAGGCAGCAGUAGGGAAUCUUCCGCAAAGGGCGAAAGCCUGACGGAGCAACGCCGCGUGAGUGAUGAAGGUCUUCGGAUCGUAAAACUCUGUUAUUAGGGAAGAACAAAUGUGUAAGUAACUAUGCACGUCUUGACGGUACCUAAUCAGAAAGCCACGGCUAACUACGUG
RNAcentral lists this ribosomal RNA (496 nucleotides) under uncultured bacterium. Its description in RNAcentral is "partial 16S ribosomal RNA". It matches the Rfam family "Bacterial small subunit ribosomal RNA", at positions 29 to 507 of the family's 1533-position model. The record is from RNAcentral.